Cygnus olor (mute swan) is the source of this 371-nucleotide long non-coding RNA. RefSeq lists it as uncharacterized. NCBI's taxonomy places the organism in Eukaryota, Metazoa, Chordata, Aves, Anseriformes, Anatidae. The transcript is spliced from 5 exons. The record is from RefSeq and is a predicted model, not a curated record.
CUGCUGUUAAGAAAACUGGCAUUAAAAUACUACUGAUGGAUUGGACACUGUAGUCCUCCAGACAACAUUAAUCUAUUGAUGACUCUGAAGUGAAGACGUGAUUGAUGCAGUUACAGACCUUGUUGUCAUAGGCAGUUGGCCGCAUUUUCACCAGAUUUGUUCAGACCUCCUGCUGGUGUUAUUAAGGAUGGAUAUAUUUCUUGGCUCAAAGAAAUGGUUUGUCCUCUGCUUCUGAGACAUUGGUGAAAAACUGUAAUUAAGGAUUUUUUGCACACUUCAUUUGGAGAAAGUGCUGAGCCCACUUUCUGUCUCAUGAAUAAACUUCAGUGAACUGCAUUAAUCUAUUAAGAACACAGAAACAUUGGAAGUGA